UUUUUUUUUUUUUUUUUUUUAAAUGAGAUCUCAUUCUGUCGCCCAGGCUGAAGUGCAGUGGCACAAUCUCGGCUCACUGCAACCUCCACCUCCCGGGCUCAGGCGAUCCUCCCGUCUCAGCAUCCUGAGUAGCUGGGACCAUAGGCGCGUGCCACCAUGCCUGGUUAAUUUUUUGUGCUUUUGAUAGAGAUGGGGUUUUGCCAUCUUGGCCAAGCCGAUCUCAAACUCCUGAGCUCAAGUGAUCUACCCACCUCGGCCUCUCGAAGUGCUGGGAUUACAGGUGUGAGCCACUGCACCCAGCCUUUAAUCAUUUAUUUAUGUCAGUAUGGACUCGUGAAUAUUUAUUUUCGACUUCUGAUUUAAUCUAAUACCUCAUCGUUUUGUUGCUCAGCUUGUUCUAGGUUUGGCCCUUGGGAGUUCUUUAGGGCUGGCUCCUGUGUCUCUCUGGCACAGCCCCACCUGUUUAUUUUUGAGCACUUCUUUACGCUCUGAUGCUCCAAGAUGCUCCCAGCUCAUCUUGUAUUUUCCCUGCUUCAGCCCCAGAAUCAGCCAUUUCUCUAAGGAGCCCUGGUUCUUUUAUUAGAGAAUGGUUUUCAGGAACCAAGAUCUGUGGGCUGGGUGUUCUUAUUGCUACAGGGGUGUUCCUGCAUUUAGGCCCUCUAGGAGACAGCUCUGGAUUUGCUUUCAUUUAAAAAUAAAGUUUCCCCUCCUGCCAAUUGCAGGGUCCAUUGGAGACUGCAGACAGCUGCUCACUGGGUUUUGAGCAUCGGACCUGUCUGUGGCCCACAGGUUUAUGCGUUCUCACAUGCCCUUGAAGGGCCUUAUGUCCAGGACUUCAAGGGAGAGAGCACACGAGGCCACCUCUCCCAAUGCUGAGCCACUUCCUGCGCUCAUUCCUGCUCAUCAGCAGGGCCAUGGCCGAGUUGCUUUGGGAAUGGGACUCAAGCCUGGUCUUGACGUGCCCUCAUAGCCCAGAUUGCUGUGGGUUUGCAAGCUGCAGGCUUACUCCCUACUGGGCCAACAGCUUUGUCAGUGGUAGCGAUAGUAGCCAUAGCCCAGCCGCAGAGCUACUGUGGCCACCUGGGUCAGGCCAGGCCAGGGUCAGGCACCAGGAAGGUCUGACUCAGCAAUCAUGCCCAGUACACUCAGGUGGCCCAACACUAAUGGGAGGAAGGCCCAGCCAGGUGCUCCCUGCACUCCCAAGGCUCACCCAACCCCAGCCACACCUGACACAGGCGGUCAGAUGUCUCAUGGAUGCCCAGUGGGCCAGGACCCAGAGGGAGGCAGCUCUCCUGCAGCAGCAGGGGUCAAGGCAGAGCGUGCCAGCCUUGAGACCCCAGGGCAGGCCGAACACCCUCCCAACUUCGCCAGCGCCUCUCCUUUAUCUCCCCGAAGCUCCAGGCUGAGAGUCAGGAGCUCUGGGUUCCAGACCUGCCUCUACCAGUGACAACAAUCAUGCCACUCCCUGCUUGAAACCUUCAGUGACUCCUUAUUGCUCUCAGCUUGAAUUCCCCACUCCUGGGCCUGCUUUACAAGGCCCUAGAGACCUCUCCAGCACCUCACGUCAUGCCUUAAUAACACCAAAUUGCUUGUGGUUCCCUUGCACAACCAUGUGGUUUCACGCCCCCGCGCCUCACUCUGCAUCACCCUCCCUUGGCUUCGCUGGUUAACUCCUAGUAGUCCCUGAGGUCUCAGCUCUGGGACCACCUCCUCC
Molecule: long non-coding RNA, 1714 nt
Organism: Macaca fascicularis (crab-eating macaque)
Lineage: Eukaryota; Metazoa; Chordata; Mammalia; Primates; Cercopithecidae
Source: Ensembl